GACGGAGGGCGCAAGCGUUGUUCGGAAUUACUGGGCGUAAAGCGCGCGCAGGCGGGCAGGUAAGUCUGGUGUGAAAUUCCGGGGCUCAACUCCGGAGCUGCUUUGGAUACUGUCUUUCUAGGGACCGGUAGAGGCCGGUGGAAUUCCCGGUGUAGCGGUGGAAUGCGUAGAGAUCGGGAAGAACACCCGUGGCGAAGGCGGUCUGCUGGGCAGUUUCUGACACUGAUGCGCGACAGCGUGGGGAGCAAACAGG
Molecule: ribosomal RNA, 253 nt
Filed under: uncultured bacterium
Lineage: Bacteria
Description: partial 16S ribosomal RNA
Rfam family: Bacterial small subunit ribosomal RNA
Source: RNAcentral